ACAAUGAAUCCGGACGGCUAUUUCUGUAAGCAUCCCUAUAAAUAUGGGCUAAGCCCAAUUCCGAACAACUUGGCCCAAAUCAUUUGGUUCCCCAACAUACGACUCUUGUAUACUACUAAUUGAAUUAGGUAUUGUUUCCUUACUACUACUAGUUUUGAUUCCAAUCUCCUCCGAAUCCAACAAUGGCGAGGAGCAAAUUUGAAAAAUUACCUGAAGAAAUCAUAGUUGAGAUACUCUCCGGUCUGCCGGCGAAAUUGAUUGGCCAACAAUCUUGAAAGGAAUAGCUUUAGAUUUUUACUCUCUUCUUUGAAUCGCGAGUAAAAAAAAAAAUGUGAGUUAAUCUCACAGUCAACUCAUGUAAAGCAGACCACUUCUGUGCAUAAUGUUUUUAAGCAAGGAUUUCAUGGUUGAUACACACACACACACACGAGGCUCAAACCUUCAUGAAUAGUCUUGUCUCUCCUUCCUUUGGCAAGGGAAGUGAGGGUUAAUAUAUUCCUUAAUGCUUGAGAUAAUACUGUAUACAAAUAUUCCAAGA
RNAcentral lists this long non-coding RNA (538 nucleotides) under Nicotiana benthamiana. Its description in RNAcentral is "long non-coding RNA (NBEN_LNC026055)". Lineage: Eukaryota; Viridiplantae; Streptophyta; Magnoliopsida; Solanales; Solanaceae. The record is from RNAcentral.